This 35-nucleotide non-coding RNA is filed under the name unclassified sequences. The record is from Rfam.
CAGGCGGAACCGAAAAGCCGGAAAUAGAGUAGGAA